GGGCGUGUGGCUCAGUUGUAAGGUGCUUGCCUAGCAUUCAAGAAGUCCUGGGUUCAAUCCCCAGCCCCA
This 69-nucleotide transfer RNA is filed under the name Rattus norvegicus (Norway rat). It matches the Rfam family "tRNA". Rfam says of the family: Transfer RNA (tRNA) molecules are approximately 80 nucleotides in length. Their secondary structure includes four short double-helical elements and three loops (D, anti-codon, and T loops). Further hydrogen bonds mediate the characteristic L-shaped molecular structure. tRNAs have two regions of fundamental functional importance: the anti-codon, which is responsible for specific mRNA codon recognition, and the 3' end, to which the tRNAs corresponding amino acid is attached (by aminoacyl-tRNA synthetases). tRNAs cope with the degeneracy of the genetic code in two manners: having more than one tRNA (with a specific anti-codon) for a particular amino acid; and 'wobble' base-pairing, i.e. permitting non-standard base-pairing at the 3rd anti-codon position. The record is from Rfam by way of RNAcentral. Lineage: Eukaryota; Metazoa; Chordata; Mammalia; Rodentia; Muridae.